RNAcentral lists this ribosomal RNA (305 nucleotides) under uncultured bacterium. Its description in RNAcentral is "bacterial SSU rRNA". It matches the Rfam family "Bacterial small subunit ribosomal RNA", at positions 337 to 640 of the family's 1533-position model. The record is from RNAcentral.
UCCUACGGGAGGCAGCAGUGAGGAAUAUUGGUCAAUGGUCGGGAGACUGAACCAGCCAAGCCGCGUGAGGGAUGAAGGUACAGAGUAUCGUAAACCUCUUUUGUCAGGGAACAAAGGCGGGGACGCGUCCCCGGAUGAGUGUACCUGAAGAAAAAGCACCGGCUAACUCCGUGCCAGCAGCCGCGGUAAUACGGAGGAUGCGAGCGUUAUCCGGAUUUAUUGGGUUUAAAGGGUGCGCAGGCGGUCUGUUAAGUCAGCGGUCAAAGCCCGGGGCUCAACCCCGGCCCGCCGUUGAAACUGGCAGU